RNAcentral lists this non-coding RNA (99 nucleotides) under Schinkia azotoformans LMG 9581. Its description in RNAcentral is "Bacillus azotoformans LMG 9581 TPP riboswitch aptamer (THI element)". It matches the Rfam family "TPP riboswitch aptamer (THI element)". Rfam says of the family: Vitamin B(1) in its active form thiamin pyrophosphate (TPP) is an essential coenzyme that is synthesised by coupling of pyrimidine and thiazole moieties in bacteria. The previously detected thiamin-regulatory element, thi box was extended, resulting in a new, highly conserved RNA secondary structure, the THI element, which is widely distributed in eubacteria and also occurs in some archaea. Lineage: Bacteria; Bacillati; Bacillota; Bacilli; Caryophanales; Bacillaceae. The record is from Rfam by way of RNAcentral.
AAGAUUAGCUAGGGGUGCCGUAUGGCUGAGAGGACGAUUGUCUAACCCUUGAACCUGAUUUGGUUAGUACCAACGUAGGGAAUGCGACUAAUUCUGUUU